RNAcentral lists this transfer RNA (75 nucleotides) under mine drainage metagenome. Its description in RNAcentral is "tRNA-Ser". The record is from RNAcentral.
GCCACUUUGCGUUUCUGCGACCCAAACGCAUUCGUAAUGCGUGGGUCGUAGGUUCGAAUCCUAUUCCCGGCACCA